Molecule: ribosomal RNA, 1386 nt
Filed under: Staphylococcus pseudoxylosus
Lineage: Bacteria; Bacillati; Bacillota; Bacilli; Caryophanales; Staphylococcaceae
Description: bacterial SSU rRNA
Rfam family: Bacterial small subunit ribosomal RNA
Source: RNAcentral
GAACAGAUAAGGAGCUUGCUCCUUUGACGUUAGCGGCGGACGGGUGAGUAACACGUGGGUAACCUACCUAUAAGACUGGGAUAACUUCGGGAAACCGGAGCUAAUACCGGAUAACAUUUGGAACCGCAUGGUUCUAAAGUGAAAGAUGGUUUUGCUAUCACUUAUAGAUGGACCCGCGCCGUAUUAGCUAGUUGGUAAGGUAACGGCUUACCAAGGCGACGAUACGUAGCCGACCUGAGAGGGUGAUCGGCCACACUGGAACUGAGACACGGUCCAGACUCCUACGGGAGGCAGCAGUAGGGAAUCUUCCGCAAUGGGCGAAAGCCUGACGGAGCAACGCCGCGUGAGUGAUGAAGGGUUUCGGCUCGUAAAACUCUGUUAUUAGGGAAGAACAAAUGUGUAAGUAACUGUGCACAUCUUGACGGUACCUAAUCAGAAAGCCACGGCUAACUACGUGCCAGCAGCCGCGGUAAUACGUAGGUGGCAAGCGUUAUCCGGAAUUAUUGGGCGUAAAGCGCGCGUAGGCGGUUUCUUAAGUCUGAUGUGAAAGCCCACGGCUCAACCGUGGAGGGUCAUUGGAAACUGGGAAACUUGAGUGCAGAAGAGGAAAGUGGAAUUCCAUGUGUAGCGGUGAAAUGCGCAGAGAUAUGGAGGAACACCAGUGGCGAAGGCGACUUUCUGGUCUGUAACUGACGCUGAUGUGCGAAAGCGUGGGGAUCAAACAGGAUUAGAUACCCUGGUAGUCCACGCCGUAAACGAUGAGUGCUAAGUGUUAGGGGGUUUCCGCCCCUUAGUGCUGCAGCUAACGCAUUAAGCACUCCGCCUGGGGAGUACGACCGCAAGGUUGAAACUCAAAGGAAUUGACGGGGACCCGCACAAGCGGUGGAGCAUGUGGUUUAAUUCGAAGCAACGCGAAGAACCUUACCAAAUCUUGACAUCCUUUGAAAACUCUAGAGAUAGAGCCUUCCCCUUCGGGGGACAAAGUGACAGGUGGUGCAUGGUUGUCGUCAGCUCGUGUCGUGAGAUGUUGGGUUAAGUCCCGCAACGAGCGCAACCCUUAAGCUUAGUUGCCAUCAUUAAGUUGGGCACUCUAGGUUGACUGCCGGUGACAAACCGGAGGAAGGUGGGGAUGACGUCAAAUCAUCAUGCCCCUUAUGAUUUGGGCUACACACGUGCUACAAUGGACAAUACAAAGGGCAGCUAAACCGCGAGGUCAUGCAAAUCCCAUAAAGUUGUUCUCAGUUCGGAUUGUAGUCUGCAACUCGACUACAUGAAGCUGGAAUCGCUAGUAAUCGUAGAUCAGCAUGCUACGGUGAAUACGUUCCCGGGUCUUGUACACACCGCCCGUCACACCACGAGAGUUUGUAACACCCGAAGCCGGUGGAG